UGUAUCUCUCCUCUCUCUCUCUUUUCUCCUUAGUUUUCUCCAUAACCAUGAAAUUCAAGCUUUCAAAGCUUGAAUCAACCCCAUAAAUUCCCCAAAAAUUCUACUAAAUUAUGAUUAAGCUUUGGUUGGGCUACUAGAAGAGGAGAUUGAAGAAGCAAGAAAGAAGAAAAAAGAGAAGAAAAUUAGUGAUUGGAAAAUCAAACAAAGUGGAAAAGAAUACCGGGACAGAACCCGAGGAGUCGAGUCAAGGCCAACAGGCGACUCGCUUGAGAUAUAGAGACUAGAGGAGCAGCAGAUUGAGCUGCUGAGGACAGGGGAGCUACCUGCUAGAAGUUAUAGGGUAUAAUUUUAUACCCUGACUGUAAAUAUUCAUUUUGAUGUAUGUAUUGCACGUAAUUGUAUGGACAUGUAAAAUCGGUCUUG
This is a long non-coding RNA of Hevea brasiliensis (rubber tree), 423 nucleotides long. RefSeq lists it as uncharacterized. The record is from RefSeq and is a predicted model, not a curated record. Lineage: Eukaryota; Viridiplantae; Streptophyta; Magnoliopsida; Malpighiales; Euphorbiaceae. The transcript has 3 exons.